GUAGUUGUGGCCGAGUGGUUAAGGUGAUGGACUCAAAAUUUAUGGGGGGGGUCUCCCAGUGCAGGUUCAAAUCCUGCUAACUACA
Molecule: non-coding RNA, 85 nt
Organism: Mauremys mutica (yellowpond turtle)
Lineage: Eukaryota; Metazoa; Chordata; Testudines; Geoemydidae
Source: the annotation of a RefSeq genome assembly